AUUGAACGCUGGCGGAAUGCUUUACACAUGCAAGUCGAACGGUAACAGGUCUUCGGAUGCUGACGAGUGGCGAACGGGUGAGUAAUAUAUCGGAACGUGCCCAGUCGUGGGGGAUAACGUAGCGAAAGUUACGCUAAUACCGCAUACGAUCUAAGGAUGAAAGCGGGGGAUCGCAAGACCUCGCGCGAUUGGAGCGGCCGAUAUCAGAUUAGGUAGUUGGUGGGGUAAAGGCUCACCAAGCCAACGAUCUGUAGCUGGUCUGAGAGGACGACCAGCCACACUGGAACUGAGACACGGUCCAGACUCCUACGGGAGGCAGCAGUGGGGAAUUUUGGACAAUGGACGCAAGUCUGAUCCAGCCAUUCCGCGUGCAGGAUGAAGGCCCUCGGGUUGUAAACUGCUUUUGUACGGAACGAAAAGGCUCUGGUUAAUACCUGGGGCUCAUGACGGUACCGUAAGAAUAAGCACCGGCUAACUACGUG
This 482-nucleotide ribosomal RNA is filed under the name uncultured bacterium. RNAcentral describes it as "bacterial SSU rRNA". It matches the Rfam family "Bacterial small subunit ribosomal RNA", at positions 30 to 507 of the family's 1533-position model. The record is from RNAcentral.